UACGGAGGGUGCGAGCGUUGUCCGGAAUCACUGGGCGUAAAGGGUGCGUAGGUGGCCAGGUAAGUUCGGUGUGAAAGCUCGGAGCUUAACUCCGAAAUGGCAUUGAAUACUAUCUGGCUGGAGGGUCGGAGGGGAGACUGGAAUUCUCGGUGUAGCAGUGAAAUGCGUAGAUAUCGAGAGGAACACCAGUGGCGAAGGCGAGUCUCUGGACGACUCCUGACACUGAGGCACGAAAGCCAGGGGAGCAAACAGG
Molecule: ribosomal RNA, 253 nt
Filed under: uncultured bacterium
Lineage: Bacteria
Description: partial 16S ribosomal RNA
Rfam family: Bacterial small subunit ribosomal RNA
Source: RNAcentral